GUGAAUUUCUAAGGGCGCAUGGUGGAUGCCUUGGCAACAGGAGCCGAAGAAGGACGUGGGAAUCUGCGAUAAGCCUGGUGGAGUCGAUAACCGGACGUUGAGACCAGGAUUUCCGAAUGGGGAAACCCCGCACGACGUGUCGUGUGACCCCCGGUUGAACACAUAGACCGGGUGGAGGGAACGUGGGGAAGUGAAACAUCUCAGUACCCACAGGAAGAGAAAACAAAAGUGAUUCCGUUAGUAGUGGCGAGCGAACGCGGAUGGGGCUAAACCGUAUGUG
RNAcentral lists this ribosomal RNA (280 nucleotides) under Micrococcus luteus. RNAcentral describes it as "partial 23S ribosomal RNA". It matches the Rfam family "Bacterial large subunit ribosomal RNA", at positions 1 to 282 of the family's 2925-position model. Lineage: Bacteria; Bacillati; Actinomycetota; Actinomycetes; Micrococcales; Micrococcaceae. The record is from RNAcentral.